This 1450-nucleotide ribosomal RNA is filed under the name Salmonella enterica subsp. enterica serovar Typhi. Its description in RNAcentral is "bacterial SSU rRNA". Lineage: Bacteria; Pseudomonadati; Pseudomonadota; Gammaproteobacteria; Enterobacterales; Enterobacteriaceae. The record is from RNAcentral.
UUCGAGUUUGAUCAUGGCUCAGAUUGAACGCUGGCGGCAGGCCUAACACAUGCAAGUCGAACGGUAACAGGAAGCAGCUUGCUGCUUUGCUGACGAGUGGCGGACGGGUGAGUAAUGUCUGGGAAACUGCCUGAUGGAGGGGGAUAACUACUGGAAACGGUGGCUAAUACCGCAUAACGUCGCAAGACCAAAGAGGGGGACCUUCGGGCCUCUUGCCAUCAGAUGUGCCCAGAUGGGAUUAGCUUGUUGGUGAGGUAACGGCUCACCAAGGCGACGAUCCCUAGCUGGUCUGAGAGGAUGACCAGCCACACUGGAACUGAGACACGGUCCAGACUCCUACGGGAGGCAGCAGUGGGGAAUAUUGCACAAUGGGCGCAAGCCUGAUGCAGCCAUGCCGCGUGUAUGAAGAAGGCCUUCGGGUUGUAAAGUACUUUCAGCGGGGAGGAAGGUGUUGUGGUUAAUAACCGCAGCAAUUGACGUUACCCGCAGAAGAAGCACCGGCUAACUCCGUGCCAGCAGCCGCGGUAAUACGGAGGGUGCAAGCGUUAAUCGGAAUUACUGGGCGUAAAGCGCACGCAGGCGGUCUGUCAAGUCGGAUGUGAAAUCCCCGGGCUCAACCUGGGAACUGCAUUCGAAACUGGCAGGCUUGAGUCUUGUAGAGGGGGGUAGAAUUCCAGGUGUAGCGGUGAAAUGCGUAGAGAUCUGGAGGAAUACCGGUGGCGAAGGCGGCCCCCUGGACAAAGACUGACGCUCAGGUGCGAAAGCGUGGGGAGCAAACAGGAUUAGAUACCCUGGUAGUCCACGCCGUAAACGAUGUCUACUUGGAGGUUGUGCCCUUGAGGCGUGGCUUCCGGAGCUAACGCGUUAAGUAGACCGCCUGGGGAGUACGGCCGCAAGGUUAAAACUCAAAUGAAUUGACGGGGGCCCGCACAAGCGGUGGAGCAUGUGGUUUAAUUCGAUGCAACGCGAAGAACCUUACCUGGUCUUGACAUCCACAGAACUUUCCAGAGAUGGAUUGGUGCCUUCGGGAACUGUGAGACAGGUGCUGCAUGGCUGUCGUCAGCUCGUGUUGUGAAAUGUUGGGUUAAGUCCCGCAACGAGCGCAACCCUUAUCCUUUGUUGCCAGCGGUCCGGCCGGGAACUCAAAGGAGACUGCCAGUGAUAAACUGGAGGAAGGUGGGGAUGACGUCAAGUCAUCAUGGCCCUUACGACCAGGGCUACACACGUGCUACAAUGGCGCAUACAAAGAGAAGCGACCUCGYGAGAGCAAGCGGACCUCAUAAAGUGCGUCGUAGUCCGGAUUGGAGUCUGCAACUCGACUCCAUGAAGUCGGAAUCGCUAGUAAUCGUGGAUCAGAAUGCCACGGUGAAUACGUUCCCGGGCCUUGUACACACCGCCCGUCACACCAUGGGAGUGGGUUGCAAAAGAAGUAGGUAGCUUAACCUUCGGG